UACGUAGGGGGCAAGCGUUGUCCGGAAUCAUUGGGCGUAAAGCGCGUGUAGGCGGCUCGAUAAGUCUGCUGUGAAAGUCCAGGGCUCAACCCUGGGAUGCCGGUGGAUACUGUCGAGCUCGAGUCCGGAAGAGGAGUGUGGAAUUCCUGGUGUAGCGGUGAAAUGCGCAGAUAUCAGGAGGAACACCAACGGCGAAGGCAGCACUCUGGGACGUGACUGACGCUGAGGAGCGAAAGCCAGGGGAGCAAACGGG
RNAcentral lists this ribosomal RNA (253 nucleotides) under uncultured bacterium. Its description in RNAcentral is "partial 16S ribosomal RNA". It matches the Rfam family "Bacterial small subunit ribosomal RNA", at positions 524 to 776 of the family's 1533-position model. The record is from RNAcentral.